AUUGAACGCUGGCGGCAUGCCUUACACAUGCAAGUCGAACGGUAGAGGGGGGCAACCCCUUCGAGAGUGGCGAACGGGUGAGUAAUGCAUCGGAACGUGUCAAGUCGUGGGGGAUAGCCCGGGGAAACCCGGAUUAAUACAGCAUACGACCUGAGGGUGUAAGCGGGGGACUCGCAAGGGCCUCGCGCGCUUGGAGCGGCCGAUGUCGGAUUAGGUAGUUGGUGGGGUAAAGGCAUACCAAGCCUGCGAUCCGUAGCUGGUCUGAGAGGACGACCAGCCACACUGGGACUGAGACACGGCCCAGACUCCUACGGGAGGCAGCAGUGGGGAAUUUUGGACAAUGGGGGCAACCCUGAUCCAGCCAUGCCGCGUGCGGGAAGAAGGCCUUCGGGUUGUAAACCGCUUUUGUCAGGGAAGAAAUGUCCUGGGCUAAUACCCUGGGGGGAUGACGGUACCUGAAGAAUAAGCACCGGCUAACUACGUGCCAGCAGCCGCAGUAA
Molecule: ribosomal RNA, 500 nt
Filed under: uncultured bacterium
Lineage: Bacteria
Description: partial 16S ribosomal RNA
Rfam family: Bacterial small subunit ribosomal RNA
Source: RNAcentral